Molecule: unclassified non-coding RNA, 171 nt
Filed under: uncultured fungus
Lineage: Eukaryota; Fungi
Description: sequence contains ITS1
Source: RNAcentral
CCGAAGUACAGGCCCGCUCGCGGGCUCAACUUCCACCCUCUGUUUACCAUUCUCUGUUGCUUUGGCGAGACGUCCCUCACAGGCCACCGGCUUCGGCUGGUGUGUGCUCGCCAGAGAAAACCCAAACCCAAACAUAUUUUAGUGAUUGUCUGAAAACAAGUUUAAUAAUUA